This 1396-nucleotide ribosomal RNA is filed under the name Microbacterium mangrovi. RNAcentral describes it as "bacterial SSU rRNA". It matches the Rfam family "Bacterial small subunit ribosomal RNA". Lineage: Bacteria; Bacillati; Actinomycetota; Actinomycetes; Micrococcales; Microbacteriaceae. The record is from RNAcentral.
UUACCAUGCAGUCGAACGAUGAAGCCCAGCUUGCUGGGUGGAUUAGUGGCGAACGGGUGAGUAACACGUGAGCAACCUGCCCCUGACUCUGGGAUAAGCGCUGGAAACGGCGUCUAAUACUGGAUAUGAGCUCCUGCCGCAUGGUGGGGGUUGGAAAGAUUUUUGGUUGGGGAUGGGCUCGCGGCCUAUCAGCUUGUUGGUGAGGUAAUGGCUCACCAAGGCGUCGACGGGUAGCCGGCCUGAGAGGGUGACCGGCCACACUGGGACUGAGACACGGCCCAGACUCCUACGGGAGGCAGCAGUGGGGAAUAUUGCACAAUGGGCGGAAGCCUGAUGCAGCAACGCCGCGUGAGGGAUGACGGCCUUCGGGUUGUAAACCUCUUUUAGCAGGGAAGAAGCGAGAGUGACGGUACCUGCAGAAAAAGCACCGGCUAACUACGUGCCAGCAGCCGCGGUAAUACGUAGGGUGCAAGCGUUAUCCGGAAUUAUUGGGCGUAAAGAGCUCGUAGGCGGUUUGUCGCGUCUGCUGUGAAAUCCCGAGGCUCAACCUCGGGUCUGCAGUGGGUACGGGCAGACUAGAGUGCGGUAGGGGAGAUUGGAAUUCCUGGUGUAGCGGUGGAAUGCGCAGAUAUCAGGAGGAACACCGAUGGCGAAGGCAGAUCUCUGGGCCGUAACUGACGCUGAGGAGCGAAAGGGUGGGGAGCAAACAGGCUUAGAUACCCUGGUAGUCCACCCCGUAAACGUUGGGAACUAGUUGUGGGGUCCAUUCCACGGAUUCCGUGACGAAGCUAACGCAUUAAGUUCCCCGCCUGGGGAGUACGGCCGCAAGGCUAAAACUCAAAGGAAUUGACGGGGACCCGCACAAGCGGCGGAGCAUGCGGAUUAAUUCGAUGCAACGCGAAGAACCUUACCAAGGCUUGACAUAUAGAGGAAACGGCCAGAGAUGGUCGCCCCGCAAGGUCUCUAUACAGGUGGUGCAUGGUUGUCGUCAGCUCGUGUCGUGAGAUGUUGGGUUAAGUCCCGCAACGAGCGCAACCCUCGUUCUAUGUUGCCAGCACGUAAUGGUGGGAACUCAUGGGAUACUGCCGGGGUCAACUCGGAGGAAGGUGGGGAUGACGUCAAAUCAUCAUGCCCCUUAUGUCUUGGGCUUCACGCAUGCUACAAUGGCCGGUACAAAGGGCUGCGAUACCGUAAGGUGGAGCGAAUCCCAAAAAGCCGGUCCCAGUUCGGAUUGAGGUCUGCAACUCGACCUCAUGAAGUCGGAGUCGCUAGUAAUCGCAGAUCAGCAACGCUGCGGUGAAUACGUUCCCGGGUCUUGUACACACCGCCCGUCAAGUCAUGAAAGUCGGUAACACCUGAAGCCGGUGGCCUAACCCUUGUGGAGGAGCCGUCGAAG